Polyodon spathula (Mississippi paddlefish) is the source of this 2373-nucleotide long non-coding RNA. RefSeq lists it as uncharacterized. Lineage: Eukaryota; Metazoa; Chordata; Actinopteri; Acipenseriformes; Polyodontidae. The transcript is spliced from 3 exons. The record is from RefSeq and is a predicted model, not a curated record.
UCUCUGUGGAUAAGUGUCAGAGCCAAAUCAGCUAACAGUCUACAGCAGCAUCCGAGGAACAGGGCUUGGCGAGUCGACCCUCCCCAUAUAAAAGGCCAUAGAAAAGGAAUACAGGAAAUCCCACCCAAACUGUAUGAGCCGUAUCUGAAUCACACUAUUUUCUUUGGUAAGGUAAGCAUUCAUUGAAAGCUCAAAAUAUCAUGAUUGGGGAGCAUUUACUGUUUACUGGAUAAAUAGUUUUCUGCUGCAAAAUGUAUUAAAGAGCCUUGCUUAUUAUUGUGCUAUGCCUGUAAGAUAUCUCCAGUAUAAGAAACCCACACCGUGUAGCUUUGUCACAGAAACUAGCUGUUAAAACAACAGUUUUGUAUAUCUCUUUUCUAUUUAAGAUUAUUUUUAAAAUGAUUAUAUACAAUUAGCACAUAAUUUGACAUUCUAAACUGGGGGAAACAAAAGGGGGUAAAAUAAUGUAUAGAAAACAGAAUCGGAAUACUAGACCCCAAACUGCCUCUUAUUACAGUACUGUGACCAAUCCCAUAUCCAUCAAUGACUCAUUCUAACGUUACUGCCCUUUAGUCCAGCCCUGUUGUACAUUGUUAUACUGUGCUACCUGGAAAUAGGGUUAAUAGAUUUUCAGAGAGAAAAACUGGGAUGUUUUUACUUUUUUUGACUUGAUUGAUGCCAUACCAACUCUGAGUACAUUAAAAUAGUAUACAGUAACACCAUUUAUUAAUUGUAUGUUUCUAAUUAUUAUAUAGCUACCUCUAAUCAAGUUGAGAGUGCAUUUCUUACACAGUAGCAACAUAAUUAGAGGGAGCCACCAAACACUUAUUGCAAACAUACAAUAAACAAUUCACUGUUUUCUUUCUAUUGUCAUCUGACGAUAGAACCAGGACAGUUUAACAAUUUUACUAUUUCUGAUCAGGACACAAAAGUUUAACUUGACAACUAGGACAAGCCCUGUUUUCCUGGGACUUAUGGUGACCCUACCUGUAAAGGAUACCGGUAGAUUAAUAACAAACUGCCCCAGUACAAAGAAAAAAACACUGCUUUAUUUACUAAUAAUUCAUUUUUAUUAUGCAGGUACUAUGUUUACAAUGGCGACUACAUUUUUAAAAUUGACUCUUGAAGUUCUUAACAUUUUCUAGUUUUGAAACAAAAAGAAAAUAAUUAAAAUGGUUAUCAGCGUUGUUGAGCCACCAUUUAAAGAAUCCAAAAGUACUGUUUGACAAUUUCAUGAAUAUCACUUAAUCUUAAUGAAAAAGGAGUAUUUUUUACAUUUGUUAAGAACAGUAUAGAAAAGUUUAAGGAGCUCUGUUUAGUUUAUCAAAAACAGUAUUCAAAUAUAUCAUGAGUUUUAGGCCUCAAGCUUUUUAAGACCACAUGGCCUCGUUCUCAGAGUAAAGUUGGUUUGAGACCCAGUAAUUUUACCCUGGAUAAAUACAGGCUUUUGUCCUUUAACUCCUGAAGGUAGUGUACCAUUGAAAUGUGUCCCGGUACUCAUUAGAUAAAUAAAUCAGGUGAGAUUUUGUUCCACUUUCUGCUGCUCUGUUUUACUUUGUACCUCUCCAGCUUUGUAACGGAUCACCCAGUGCAGGAACACACCAAGGAUAUUCUUCUUCCUGGACUCUCCAUCUGAGAGUGAGCUUUACUGAAUCUGUCACUGUCGAGCUGCACUGAGGAUUUGAGUGACGCCUAGCGGAAGUGAAAAGCCAGUGUCCAGUUACACACCAAUGGAGGGGGCUGCCAUUUCCCUGUGUCCUAACGAAGGAGCCUACCGUGGUGCGCACUUGCUCUGGGUCGACACUGGUUAGCGGGAAGAAGGCACAGCAAGAAUUCUGGUCUCAUAAACCUCCAACCAAAUUCAAUUGAUAAGUUAAAGUUCAUUAUAAAAACGCAAAAAACUUCAGGUGACAAAUGGGCCUUGAUGGAUGUAGAUGUCAGACAUGCUGAAUCAUUUUGCGUUACGAAGUUAGUAAAAAAAGCACGACAGCGGAUGAAAGAUGCCUUCCCUUUAUCACUUUACCAUCAUCCUGCCGCUGCUGCUGCUGUUUAGUAGCUGUGGAAAAUGCACUGCCUGUAAUGAAUCCUGUAAUGUUGUUUUCUCAAAUACUAACGAUGUGCACUGAAAGUCUGCUUCAGCUAAAGCAACAGUAUUAUCACCCUUGGUUCUUUAAACUACUGAAUCAUAUAACAGCUUUUGUUUUCAAUGUCUUGAAUAUGAGGACAACCAUAUUAUAUCAAGACAAAAUCAAUAAAAUUAUGUUUCACGGGAGAACCAAAUAGGCAGCUUGUGAAAGUGCCAGCGCUGUAAGGCUUUCUUGCUCUGGUAAUGAUCAUAGUAUAUAUAUAUAUAUAUAUAUAUAUAUAUAUAUA